This 488-nucleotide ribosomal RNA is filed under the name uncultured bacterium. Its description in RNAcentral is "bacterial SSU rRNA". It matches the Rfam family "Bacterial small subunit ribosomal RNA", at positions 30 to 511 of the family's 1533-position model. The record is from RNAcentral.
AUUGAACGCUGGCGGCAUGCCUUACACAUGCAAGUCGAACGGCAGCACGGGAGCAAUCCUGGUGGCGAGUGGCGAACGGGUGAGUAAUAUAUCGGAACGUGCCCAGUCGUGGGGAUAACGUAGCGAAAGCUACGCUAAUACCGCAUACGAUCUAUGGAUGAAAGCGGGGGAUCGCAAGACCUCGCGCGAUUGGAGCGGCCGAUAUCAGAUUAGGUAGUUGGUGGGGUAAAGGCUCACCAAGCCAACGAUCUGUAGCUGGUCUGAGAGGACGACCAGCCACACUGGAACUGAGACACGGUCCAGACUCCUACGGGAGGCAGCAGUGGGGAAUUUUGGGACAAUGGACGCAAGUCUGAUCCAGCCAUUCCGCGUGCAGGAUGAAGGCCCUCGGGUUGUAAACUGCUUUUGUACGGAACGAAACGGUGAGCUCUAAUACAGUUUGCUAAUGACGGUACCGUAAGAAUAAGCACCGGCUAACUACGUGCCAG